GAUGAACGCUGGCGGCGUGCCUAAUACAUGCAAGUCGAGCGAACAGACGAGGAGCUUGCUCCUCUGACGUUAGCGGCGGACGGGUGAGUAACACGUGGAUAACCUACCUAUAAGACUGGGAUAACUUCGGGAAACCAGAGCUAAUACCGGAUAAUAUAUUGAACCGCAUGGUUCAAUAGUGAAAGACGGUUUUGCUGUCACUUAUAGAUGGAUCCGCGCCGCAUUAGCUAGUUGGUAAGGUAACGGCUUACCAAGGCAACGAUGCGUAGCCGACCUGAGAGGGUGAUCGGCCACACUGGAACUGAGACACGGUCCAGACUCCUACGGGAGGCAGCAGUAGGGAAUCUUCCGCAAUGGGCGAAAGCCUGACGGAGCAACGCCACGUGAGUGAUGAAGGUCUUCGGAUCGUAAAACUCUGUUAUUAGGGAAGAACAAAUGUGUAAGUAACUAUGCACGUCUUGACGGUACCUAAUCAGAAAGCCACGGCUAACUACGUG
This 497-nucleotide ribosomal RNA is filed under the name uncultured bacterium. RNAcentral describes it as "partial 16S ribosomal RNA". It matches the Rfam family "Bacterial small subunit ribosomal RNA", at positions 28 to 507 of the family's 1533-position model. The record is from RNAcentral.